GUAGGGAAUAUUGGGCAAUGGAUGCAAGUCUGACCCAGCCAUCCCGCGUGCCGGAAGAAGGCCCUCAGGGUUGUAAACGGCUUUUGACGGUGAAGAAUCGACAGGAUGCGUCCUGUUUUGACGGUAGCCGUUGAAUAAGCACCGGCUAACUCCGUGCCAGCAGCCGCGGUAAUACGGAGGGUGCGAGCGUUGUCCGGAUUUAUUGGGUUUAAAGGGUGCGUAGGCUGGAAGGUCAGUCAGCGGUGAAAAGCUGUCGCUGAACGAUAGUCUUGCCGAAGAUACUACAUUUCUUGGAUGAGGAGGAGGCCACUGGAACGGAUGGUGUAGCGGUAAAAUGCAUAGAUAUCAUCCAGAACACCGAUUGCGAAGGCAGGUGGCUGUACCUUAAUCGACGCUGAUGCACGAAAGCAUGGGGAGCAAACAGGAUUAGAAACCCCUGUAGUCC
RNAcentral lists this ribosomal RNA (445 nucleotides) under uncultured bacterium. RNAcentral describes it as "partial 16S ribosomal RNA". It matches the Rfam family "Bacterial small subunit ribosomal RNA", at positions 354 to 796 of the family's 1533-position model. The record is from RNAcentral.